RNAcentral lists this ribosomal RNA (711 nucleotides) under Acarospora sp. EH-2022h. Its description in RNAcentral is "partial large subunit ribosomal RNA". It matches the Rfam family "Eukaryotic large subunit ribosomal RNA", at positions 361 to 1412 of the family's 3401-position model. The record is from RNAcentral. Lineage: Eukaryota; Fungi; Ascomycota; Lecanoromycetes; Acarosporales; Acarosporaceae.
AAGAUGAAAAGCACUUUUGGAAAGAGAGUCAAACAGUUCGUGAAAUUGUUGAAAGGGAAGCGCUUGCAAUCAGACUUGCCUGCGGGUGAUCAGCCGGUAUUCUUACCGGUGCACUCGGCCGUGGUCAAGCCAGCAUUGGUUCGGGCGGCUGGAUAAAGUCCACUGGAAUGUAGCUCCUCUCGGGGAGUGUUAUAGCCAGAGGUGCCAUGCAGCCCGCCCGGACCGAGGACCGCGCUUCGGCUAGGAUGCUGGCGUAAUGGUCGUAAGCGACCCGUCUUGAAACACGGACCAAGGAGUCUAACAUAUAUGCGAGUGUUUGGGUGUCAAACCCAUGCGCGUAAUGAAAGUGAACGGAGGUGGGAACCCUCAAGGGUGCACCAUCGACCGAUCCUGAUGUCUUCGGAUGGAUUUGAGUAAGAGCAUAGCUGUUGGGACCCGAAAGAUGGUGAACUAUGCCUGAAUAGGGUGAAGCCAGAGGAAACUCUGGUGGAGGCUCGCAGCGGUUCUGACGUGCAAAUCGAUCGUCAAAUUUGGGUAUAGGGGCGAAAGACUAAUCGAACCAUCUGCUACUAGAUGGCAUACGGGCCCGCGCGCCCCGGUAGUCCCCGCUCGACGGGGGCGACAUCGUCGGUCUCCCUCUGGGCCACCCGCAGUGAGCCUCGGGGCUCAUGGCGGUGGCCGUGCCCUGGAUCACGGUUAGGAUAUAGCCGA